CUAAGCAUAUUAAUAAGCGGAGGAAAAGAAACUAACAAGGAUUCCCCUAGUAACGGCGAGUGAAGCGGGAAGAGCUCAAGCUUAAAAUCUCCGUGCAAGUUUUGUGCGGCGAAUUGUAGUCUAUAGAGGCGUGGUCAGCGUGGGCGCUUGGGGCAAGUUCCUUGGAAGAGGACAGCAUGGAGGGUGAUACUCCCGUUCAUCCCUGAGUGGCUCGUGCGUACGACCCGUUUUCUUUGAGUCGCGUUGUUUGGGAAUGCAGCGCAAAGUAGGUGGUAAAUUCCAUCUAAAGCUAAAUAUUGGUGCGAGACCGAUAGCGAACAAGUACCGUGAGGGAAAGAUGAAAAGAACUUUGAAAAGAGAGUUAAAGAGUACCUGAAACUGCUGAAAGGGAACCGAAUCGUUUCCAGUGUCUAUAAUCCGUGACAUAUUUCAUUGGCGAGUGUGUGCGUGCGUGUGCUGUGGCAGUGGCUUUUUUGGCUGCGCUCGGUGUGUGUGCUGUGUGUGCUUGCUGGUGCCCUGUGCUGCGGUGGGACGUCAAGGUCAGUUCUUAUGCUGCGGGAAAUGGCUGCCGAGGAGGUAGGGCUUACGCUUGCGUUUGUCUGUUAUAUCUUGGUGGACGAGUAGUCGCGGUUGGGACUGAGGUGCCUACAACGUGCUUUUGAGUGGGUUUGUGUCUCCGUGUGCGCCGUGUGCGGAUAGCUUGCUAUGCGUGUGUGGUUGUGUGUGGAUUGAUGCGGGCUUUAACUUGUUGCCGUUCGGGACGUUGACGAAAUGGAGCGAUCCGACCCGUCUGAAACACGGACCAAGGAGUCUAACAUGUGUGCAAGUGUUAGGGUGUGGAAACCCCAGCGCGAAAUGAAAGUAAAGGGCAGCGCAAGUUGUCUGAGGUAGGAAAUGUUGCGGGCUUCGGUCUGCGGCGUGGCACUAUCGACCGAUCAUGAACCUUCGUGGUGAAAGAUUUGAGUUUGAGCACAUAUGUUGGUACCCGAAAGAUGGUGAACUAUGCCUGAGUAGGGUGAAGCCAGGGGAAACUCUGGUGGAAGCUCGUAGCGAUUCUGACGUGCAAAUCGAUCGUCAAACUUGGGUAUAGGGGCGAAAGACUAAUCGAACCAUCUAGUAGCUGGUUCCCUCCGAAAUUUCCCUCAGGAUAGCAGCAACUUAUUUACGAUAGUUUUAUGAGGUAAAGCGAAUGAUUAGAGGAUUCGGGGAAGAAACUUCCUCGACCUAUUCUCAAACUUUAAAUCUGUAAGACCUGCAGGUUUCUUAAUUGAACUUGUGGAUGUGAAUAUCAAGUUGCUAGUGGGCCAUACGGGGUAAGCUC
Molecule: ribosomal RNA, 1321 nt
Filed under: Phytophthora ohioensis (nom. inval.)
Lineage: Eukaryota; Oomycota; Peronosporomycetes; Peronosporales; Peronosporaceae
Description: eukaryotic LSU rRNA
Rfam family: Eukaryotic large subunit ribosomal RNA
Source: RNAcentral